UCUAUUUUCCUUUGCUUAUUUUCAUUUUCCAGUUUCUUUCACAAACUCGUAUUUUUUCCAUCUCCAUGAUUUCUCCUUUUCUUUUCGUGCAAAUUCUGUUCGUUCAAUUUUUUUCUAUUUUCCAUUGCUUAUUUUCUUCUUUCAGUUUCUUUCACAAACUCUAAUAUUUUUUCCAUCUCCAUGAUUUCCUCUUUUUCUUUUCGUUCAAAUUCUGUUCGUUCAAUUUUUUUCUAUUCUCCUUUGCUUAUUUUCUUUUUCCAGUUUCCUUCACAAACUCGUAUUUUUUCCAUCUCCAUGAUUUCCUCUUUUUCUUUUCGUUCAAAUUCUGUUCGUUCAAUUUUUUUCUAUUUUCCUUUGCUUAUUUUCUUCUUUCAGUUUCUUUCACAAACUCUAUAUUUUUUCCAUCUCCAUGAUUUCUCCUUUUCUUUUCGUCCAAUUUCUGUUGCUUCGAUUUUUCUCCCAUUUUCUCUUGCCUUUCAAUUUUUUCACCGAAUUUGACUUUAUUCUAUUAUUUUCCUCCCCCUUAUCUUCUUUUUUUCUUCCCAAACUCUACUCCUUUAUCAUCCUUUCUUCUUCUUUUCUGCCCUUCCUUCAUCCAUCAAUUGUUAUUAUAUUAGAGAUGAAGAAAAAUAUUAUUAGUCUCUUUACUACUGUCAUCAUCAGCCUUCUUGCACAUACUGAGCAGAAAAGGAAAGCAGAACAUAAAAGAGAAUCGCGCAGAGCAGGAAUUAUAAAGGAAUGAACAGAAUGAAUAGAGAAAAAGAAUAUGGAAAAAGAAGAAAAGUGUAAAUAAGAGAAAAGAUUAAAAAGGAAUGAACAGAAUGAAUAGAGAAAAAGAAUAUGGAAAAAUAAAAAAAGAACGUACAUAAGAGAAAAGAUUAAAAAGGAAUGAACAGAAUGAAUAGAGAAAAGGAAUAUGGAAAAAAGAAAAUAAUGUAAAUAAGAAAAAAAUUAAAAAGGAAUAUAAAAAUAGAAAAAAAUAUGAGAAACAAUAAGCAAGAAAUAGAGAAAUAUAAAUCCUAAACAGAAGAGGAAACGACAGAAACGAAGAAAAGAACAGCGAGAGCUUGAAAAAAAAAGAAAAAAUAAUGAAAACAACAGAAAAAAAUAAAGAUGUGUAAUCAAGAAAUGAAAUGAAAAACAGCAAAAAAAAAGAAAAACAAAAUGUAAUAACUGAGAUAAAAAAAAAAACAGCGCAUAGCAUGAAUGAAGAAAAAAUGGAGAACAGGAAAACAGGGGAAAAGAAAACAAUAUAAAGAUAAAUUAAAAAAACAAAGAUGAAUAAGAUUAGACAGAAUAGAGAAACAAGAGGAAAGAGUAAAAAUAGAGGAAAGAACCACAAACAACAUAAAAAAAAGAAAACAAUGAAAAGGAAGAGAUGGAAAAGGGAAAUGAAAAAAAAGAAAAAAAAGCGGAAGAAAAUGAUAAGACGAUGAACUUGUAAAUAAAAGAACGGGAAUAAAAGAGAAAAUAACAGGAAUAGCGAAAAAAGAACACUGAGAAAAAAUAAAGAAGAGAAAAGGCAGAGAACAAGAAAGAAAAUAAAAACAAGAUAUCAUUUAAAAGGAUGAAUAAAAAAGAAUGAUAGAGAAUAUAAAUAAAACAGGGAAAUAACAGAGAAAAUUGAAGAAAUGCAAGAAUGAAAAGAGCGUAAAAUGGAUAAAGAAUAAAGAGAAAUGAGAAACGAAUAUAUGUGAGAAAAAUAAAUGAGAUAAAUAAAUGAAAACAAAGAAAUUAAAGAAAAGUUAGAAAAAGAGAAAACAGACACAGUAAUUAGGUUGAUAAGGAAAGGGAACAGAGGAAGAAAAUAAAGGAAAGAAUAAGGAAAACAGCGUGAAUGAUGAAAGACAACAGAUAAGAAAAAAAAACAGGAAAAUAUAUAACAAACAUUAGCAAAAUAUAACACAGAAUAAAAUAAUGGAAAUAAAGAAUGAAGAAGUAGAAGACAAAAUAGAAAUAUCAAGGUGGUAGAAAAAUAAAAGAAAAGUAGGAUGCAAGUAGAGAAGAAAUGUAAAAUAGAAAAGGAAGUUGAAGAAAAAUAGGGAAAAAAAAGAAGAGAAAAAAAAGGAUUGAAGUAGAAAAGAAAUACAGAAUAGAAAAAGAGGUUGAAGAAAAAUAGGAUAAAAAAGAAAAGAGAAAAAGAAAAAAAAGGAUUGAAGUAGAAAAGAAAUACAAAAUAGAAAAAGAGGUUGAAGAAAAAUAGGCAAAAAAAAAAAGAGAAAAAAUAUAAAAAAAUACGAAACCAAAAAAAUUAAAGCAAAUGAAAAAAAUAAAACAAAGCAGGAAAGAAAUAAAACAAAAAAAUCAAAGUUGAAGAAAAUAAGUAAAAAAAAGAAAAGAUACGAAACAGAAAAUUCAAGGAUGACUAAAAUAAAAUAGAAUAAGUAGAAAAAUAUACAAAAAAAAAUCAAGGAGGAAUAAAACCGGAUAUUUUUUAAUCAAUACGAUCUUUUAAAACUUAUGAAGAUCCACUUUUUUUUCCGGGUAUUUCUUUCACCCCAUCGGUCGGUGCAAUGCGUCCAUCAACCUUAAUUACCGAGACAAAAAAAGGCUUGCAAAACAGCUGAGUGGUUAGGAAGCGGGACUAAUAUUAGGCUUACAUUCUCAAACACCGGAGCACACACACACACACACACACACACACACACACACACACACACACACACACACACCGUAAUUGAUUCCCCUUUCGGCCACCUCUUCGGAUUCUUUACAUGAGCAGCAAGUAGCGGGCUUUUUUUUAUUAUUAUUGUUUCCUUUUUUUUGUGCCCUUGUGCUGUCUCCUUUGCUGUAAACACACACACACACACACACACACACACACACACACACACACACACACACACACACAAACGGAGAAAAAAAAACAGGCAUGAAAAAAAGAAAAAAAACAAGAACAGAUAAAUAAAAACAGGGAAAAAAUAGAAUGUAAAAAGAUAAAAAAAGAUAAAAAAAUUAAAACGAAAGAUAAAUAGAAAAGAAAAACAGAAAAAAAAGAAACAGGCACAAACAGAAGAAAAAAACAAUAAAGAAUAAAGAAAUAAAGCAGAAUAGAUGGAAGAAAAGUUAUCAAGAAAUGCAAUCAAGAAACACACACACACACACACACACACACACACACACACACACACACACACACACACACACACACACACACACACACACACACACACAUUGGGUAAGGCUUUGGUGGAGGCUGUUGUGAGUAUUUCCAAGGAUGAGCAGUUUCUAGAUCGGCAAUGAUAAUAAGUAGGCCUAUAUUAUCAUACAUUUCGGAGCUCAUCACACACACUGGAUAAGGCUUUCGUAGAGGUUGUGUGAGUAUUUCUAAGGGUAGUUUUUUGUGUUGGUAAGGCUUCCGUAGAGGUUGUGUGAGUAUUUCUAAGGGUAGUUUUUUGUGUUGGUAAGGCUUUCGUAGAGGUUGUGUGAGUAUUUCCAAGGGUAGUUUUUUGUGUUGGUAAGGCUUUCGUAGAGGUUGUGUGAGUAUUUCCAUGGAUAGUUUCGUGUUGGUAAUUAGUAACGUUUCUUAGGCUCAUACCCUCAAACAUUGCGCGGCUUUCACAUUCCCAUCUGGUAAAACUAUCGUAGAGGAGGUAGAGUGUAUGUACUAUUUCCGUGGGUAGUUUUAUGAGCCUAGUAAUAGUCUGACAUGGCUUCUGCACCAGGCUUUGAAUAACUGCAAUCGUAAGUGAACUUGAAUGAGAUUAUAUACAGAAUUUUGAGUAAUUAUGAUCGAAAUUGUAUCUGAGCGUUUAAAUGAGAGUUAUUGUAAUAGAAAAUGAGCGUAUAAAUUCAACUUUAAGACCCUAAACUAUACUGACCACUAAGCGUAAAUUUAAUAGUUUAUAUUCCCUUUCUUUGAUUUGAGGAAGGAAGGUAUAGAAAGGAAUGAAUGAAUGAAUGAAUGAAGGAAGGAAGGAAGGAAGGAAGAAAGAAAGAAAGAAAGGUGGGAAAGGAAAGGAAAGUAUUAGACAGAAGAAAAUUCAUGUUAGCAAAUAAGAAAAGUAGAAAUGUAAAAGGAAAGAAGGAAAGAGGAACAGAAAGAAAGAUACAAAGGAAAAAAGAAAAAGAGAAAAGGAAGGGAGGAAAAAGAAGUAGACGAUAGAAAAAUGAAAACGAAAAUAGCAAAUCAGAAUAAAAGGAUAAAGAUGAUGAAAAGAAAAAAAACAGAAAGAACACGGAGAGAAAAGGAACAGACAGACAUAGACGGAACAUUAGAGAAAGUAGAUUAACAAUAUAGAAAAUGAUAACUGAGUAGAUGAUGAACAGGAGGAAUAGAGAAAGCACAAAUAAAGAAAACAAAGAUGGUGAAAAGAAAAAAAACAAAGAACACAGAGAGAAAAGGAACAGACAGACAUAGACGAAACAUUAGAAAAAGUAAAUAGA
Molecule: long non-coding RNA, 4386 nt
Organism: Eriocheir sinensis (Chinese mitten crab)
Lineage: Eukaryota; Metazoa; Arthropoda; Malacostraca; Decapoda; Varunidae
Exons: 2
Source: RefSeq, a predicted model, not a curated record